AGAGUUUGAUCCUGGCUCAGGAUGAACGCUAGCGGCAGGCUUAACACAUGCAAGUCGAGGGGCAGCACGGGUAGCAAUACCUGGUGGCGACCGGCGGAAGGGUGCGUAACGCGUGAGCAACAUGCCCUAUACAGGGGAAUAAACCAGGGAAACUUGGUCUAAUGCCCCAUAGCAAUAAGAUAAGGCAUCUUAUUUUAUUUAAAGCUUCGGUGGUAUAGGAUUGGCUCGCGUGACAUUAGCUGGAUGGUGGGGUAACGGCCCACCAUGGCGAUGAUGUCUAGGGGUUCUGAGAGGAAGACCCCCCACACUGGGACUGAGACACGGCCCAGACUCCUACGGGAGGCAGCAGUGAGGAAUAUUGGACAAUGGAUGGAAAUCUGAUCCAGCCAUGCCGCGUGCAGGAAGACGGCCCUAUGGGUUGUAAACUGCUUUUAUCAGGGAAUAAACCCCCGCUCGUGAGCGGGGCUGAAGGUACCUGAAGAAUAAGCAUCGGCUAACUCCGUGCCAGCAGCCGCGGUAAUACGGAGGAUGCAAGCGUUAUCCGGAUUCAUUGGGUUUAAAGGGUGCGUAGGCGGAUUGGUAAGUCAGGGGUGAAAUUUUGCAGCUCAACUGUAAAAGAGCCUUCGAAACUGGCAAGCUUGAGUGUGGAUGAAGUAGGCGGAAUUUGUGGUGUAGCGGUGAAAUGCAUAGAUAUCACAAAGAACACCGAUUGCGCAGGCAGCUUACUAAACCAUAACUGACGCUCAUGCACGAAGGCGUGGGGAUCAAACAGGAUUAGAUACCCUGGUAGUCCACGCAGUAAACGAUGAUUACUGGCUGUUUGCGAUACAAUGUAAGCGGCUGAGCGAAAGCGUUAAGUAAUCCACCUGGGGAGUACGUUCGCAAGAAUGAAACUCAAAGGAAAUUGACG
RNAcentral lists this ribosomal RNA (910 nucleotides) under uncultured bacterium. RNAcentral's name for it is "bacterial SSU rRNA". It matches the Rfam family "Bacterial small subunit ribosomal RNA", at positions 8 to 915 of the family's 1533-position model. The record is from RNAcentral.